UAGGGAAUAUUGCACAAUGGAGGAAACUCUGAUGCAGCGACGCCGCGUGAGUGAUGAAGGCCUUCGGGUCGUAAAGCUCUGUUGUACGGGAAGAAGGUCAUUUACCUAAUACGUAAGAGGCUUGACGGUACCGUAUAAGAAAGGACCGGCUAACUUCGUGCCAGCAGCCGCGGUAAGACGAGGGGGUCCUAGCGUUGUUCGGAAUCAUUGGGCGUAAAGAGUAUGUAGGCGGCUUUUCAAGUCAGAUGUGAAAGCCCACGGCUUAACCGUGGAAAUGCAUUUGAUACUGUUAAGCUUGAGUGCGGAAGAGGAUGGUAGAAUUCCUGGUGUAGUGGUGAAAUACGUAGAUAUCAGGAGGAAUACCGGAGGCGAAGGCGGCCAUCUGGUCCGCUACUGACGCUGAGAUACGAAAGCGUGGGGAUCAAACAGGAUUAGAUACCCCCAGUACGUCC
RNAcentral lists this ribosomal RNA (452 nucleotides) under uncultured bacterium. RNAcentral describes it as "bacterial SSU rRNA". It matches the Rfam family "Bacterial small subunit ribosomal RNA", at positions 355 to 796 of the family's 1533-position model. The record is from RNAcentral.